This 425-nucleotide ribosomal RNA is filed under the name uncultured bacterium. RNAcentral's name for it is "partial 16S ribosomal RNA". It matches the Rfam family "Bacterial small subunit ribosomal RNA", at positions 354 to 796 of the family's 1533-position model. The record is from RNAcentral.
GUGGGGAAUAUUGGGCAAUGGGCGAAAGCCUGACCCAGCAACGCCGCGUGAAGGAAGAAGGUUUUCGGAUCGUAAACUUCUAUCCUUGGUGAAGAUAAUGACGGUAGCCAAGAAGGAAGCCCCGGCUAACUACGUGCCAGCAGCCGCGGUAAUACGUAGGGGGCAAGCGUUGUCCGGAAUGAUUGGGCGUAAAGGGCGCGUAGGCGGCCCGGUAAGUCUGAAGUGAAAGUCCUGCUGUUAAGGUGGGAAUUGCUUUGGAUACUGUCGGGCUUGAGUGCAGGAGAGGUAAGCGGAAUUCCCGGUGUAGCGGUGAAAUGCGUAGAGAUCGGGAGGAACACCAGUGGCGAAGGCGACUUACUGGACUGUAACUGACGCUGAGGCGCGAAAGUGUGGGGAGCAAACAGGAUUAGAAACCCCUGUAGUCC